GGGCUUGUUUCGGCAGCACAUAUGCUAAAAUUGGAAUGAUACAGAGAAGAUUAGCAUGGCCCUGCACAAGAAUGACACGUAAAUAUAUAUAUAUAUGUGUAUAUAU
Otolemur garnettii (small-eared galago) is the source of this 106-nucleotide non-coding RNA. NCBI's taxonomy places the organism in Eukaryota, Metazoa, Chordata, Mammalia, Primates, Galagidae. The record is from Rfam.